AUGAACGCUGGCGGCGUGCCUAAUACAUGCAAGUCGAGCGAACGGACGAGAAGCUUGCUUCUCUGAUGUUAGCGGCGGACGGGUGAGUAACACGUGGAUAACCUACCUAUAAGACUGGGAUAACUUCGGGAAACCGGAGCUAAUACCGGAUAAUAUUUUGAACCGCAUGGUUCAAAAGUGAAAGACGGUCUUGCUGUCACUUAUAGAUGGAUCCGCGCUGCAUUAGCUAGUUGGUAAGGUAACGGCUUACCAAGGCAACGAUGGAUAGCCGACCUGAGAGGGGAACCGGCGAAAUGGGGACUGAGGUAGGGGCCAGACGCCGACGGGAGGCAGCAGUGGGGAAUAUUGCACAAUGGGCGGAAGCCAGAUGAAGCAACGUCGAGUUCGGGAUGACGGCCUUCGGGUGAGAAACCGAGUUAGCCUGGGAUGAAGCGUGAGUGACGGUAAUGGGUAAAGAAGCAACGGCUAACUACGUG
Molecule: ribosomal RNA, 476 nt
Filed under: uncultured bacterium
Lineage: Bacteria
Description: partial 16S ribosomal RNA
Rfam family: Bacterial small subunit ribosomal RNA
Source: RNAcentral